RNAcentral lists this ribosomal RNA (253 nucleotides) under uncultured bacterium. RNAcentral's name for it is "partial 16S ribosomal RNA". It matches the Rfam family "Bacterial small subunit ribosomal RNA", at positions 524 to 776 of the family's 1533-position model. The record is from RNAcentral.
UACAUGGGGUGCAAACGUUGCUCGGAAUUAUUGGGCGUAAAGCGCACGUAGGUGGUCUGUUAUGUCAGAUGUGAAAGCCCUCGGCUUAACUGAGGAAGUGCACCUGAAACUGGCAGGCUUGAGUACGAAAGAGGGUCGCGGAAUUCCUGGUGUAGCGGUGAAAUGCGCAGAUAUCAGGAGGAACACCGGUGGCGAAGGCGGGACUCUGGGCCGAUACUGACGCUGAGGAGCGAAAGCGUGGGGAGCGAACAGG